ACCGUAAACAAUUAAUUUACACCAAUCAGCGCCAGGGAAUUACGAGCAAUGCUUAAAACCCAAAGGAUUUGACGGUGCCCCACCCAACUAGAGGAGCCUGUUCUAUAAUCGAUAAUCCCCGCUACACCUGACCAUUUCUCGCCUUCAGUCUGUAUACCUCCGUCGAAAGCUUACCAUGUGAACGUUUACAGUAAGCCUAAUGACUCACACGUCAACACGUCAGGUCAAGGUGCAGCUUAAGAAAUGGGAAGCAAUGGGCUACAAUUUCUAAUUUAGAACAAACGGAAGACUAUGUGAAACCCUAGUCUCAAGGUGGAUUUAGUAGUAAAAAGAAAAUAAAGUGUUCUUUUUAACCUGGCUCUGGGACGCGUACACACCGCCCGUCACCCUCUUCGAUAGUAUAUUCUUCUGUUCCUAACUAACUACUCACGUUUUAGAAAAGGUAAGUCGUAACAUGGUAAGUGUACUGGAAAGUGCACUUGGUAA
This 486-nucleotide ribosomal RNA is filed under the name Lithobates pustulosus (Mexican Cascade frog). RNAcentral describes it as "Rana pustulosa (Mexican Cascade frog) partial 12S ribosomal RNA". It matches the Rfam family "Bacterial small subunit ribosomal RNA", at positions 799 to 1521 of the family's 1533-position model. Lineage: Eukaryota; Metazoa; Chordata; Amphibia; Anura; Ranidae. The record is from RNAcentral.